This 440-nucleotide ribosomal RNA is filed under the name uncultured bacterium. RNAcentral describes it as "partial 16S ribosomal RNA". It matches the Rfam family "Bacterial small subunit ribosomal RNA", at positions 338 to 795 of the family's 1533-position model. The record is from RNAcentral.
CCUACGGGAGGCAGCAGUGGGGAAUCUUGGACAAUGGGCGCAAGCCUGAUCCAGCCAUGCCGCGUGAGUGAUGAAGGCCCUAGGGUUGUAAAACUCUUUCGUGGGGGACGAUAAUGACGGUACCCCAAGAAGAAGCUCCGGCUAACUUCGUGCCAGCAGCCGCGGUAAUACGAAGGGGGCUAGCGUUGUUCGGAUUUACUGGGCGUAAAGCGCGUGUAGGCGGACUGGAAAGUUGGGGGUGAAAUCCCGAGGCUCAACCUGGGAAAUGCCUGCAAAACUUCCAGUCUGGACUCAAGCAGAGGCAAGUGGAAUUGCGAGUGUAGAGGUGAAAUUCGUAGAUAUUCGCAGGAACACCGGUGGCGAAGGCGGCUUUCCGGACUAGUACUGACGCUGAGGCGCGAAAGCUAGGGGAGCGAACGGGAUUAGAUACCCCUGUAGUC